This 510-nucleotide ribosomal RNA is filed under the name uncultured bacterium. RNAcentral describes it as "partial 16S ribosomal RNA". It matches the Rfam family "Bacterial small subunit ribosomal RNA", at positions 28 to 507 of the family's 1533-position model. The record is from RNAcentral.
GACGAACGCUGGCGGCGUGCUUAACACAUGCAAGUCGAACGAAGAGCGAUGGAAGCUUGCUUCUAUCAAUCUUAGUGGCGAACGGGUGAGUAACGCGUAAUCAACCUCCCCUUCAGAGGGGGACAACAGUUGGAAACGACUGCUAAUACCGCAUACGAUCUAACCUCGUCAUCGAGGAUAGAUGAAAGGUGGCGUCUACAUUUAUGCUAUCACUGAAGGAGGGUUUUGCGUCUGAUUAGCUAAUUGGAGGCGUAACGGCCCACCAAUGCGAUGAUCAGUAGGCGGUCUGGGAGGAUGGACGGCCACAUUGGGAAUGGGGAACGGCCCAAGAUCCUACGGGAGGGAACAGGGGGGAAUCUUCCGCAAUGGACGAAAGUCUGGCGGAGCAACGCCGCGUGGGGGAUGAAAGGCUUCGGGUUGUAAAGCUCUGUUAAUCGGGGAGAAAGGAAUUCUUGCGAAUAGGGAGAAGGAUUGACGGUACCGGAAUAGAAAGCCACGGCUAACUACGUG